AUACGCGUGUGUGAUGAACCGUCUUGAGGUAUUGUAAAACACUUUCAGCAAGGGAAAAAAUUAUAUAAAUAAUACUUAUAUUAACUGAUAUUACCUGCAAAAGAAGUACCGGCUAACUCCGUGCCAGCAGCCGCGGUAAUACGGAGGGUACAAGCGUUAAUCGGAAUUAUUGGGCGUAAAGAGUACGUAGGUGGUAUAUUAAGUCAGAUGUGAAAUACUUAAGCUUAACUUAAGAACUGCAUUUGAAACUAAUAAACUAGAGUUUUAUAGAGGGGAGUAGAAUUCCAAGUGUAGCGGUGAAAUGCGUAGAUAUUUGGAGGAAUACCAGAGGCGAAGGCGACUCCCUGGGUAAUAACUGACACUGAGGUACGAAAGCUUGGGGAGCAAACAGGAUUAGAUACCCUGGUAGUCCAUGCUGUAAACGAUGUCAAUUUGAAGAUUGUAAUAUUAUUAUUUUUCUAUAAUUUCGUAGCUAACGCAUUAAAUUGACCGCCUGGGGAUUACGACCGCAAGGUUAAAACCUCAAAAUGACAUUGACUGGGGAACCCGCACAAAGCGGUGGAGCAUGUGGUUUCAAAUUCCGAAUACACGCG
RNAcentral lists this ribosomal RNA (593 nucleotides) under endosymbiont of Sphenophorus levis. RNAcentral describes it as "bacterial SSU rRNA". It matches the Rfam family "Bacterial small subunit ribosomal RNA", at positions 395 to 963 of the family's 1533-position model. Lineage: Bacteria; Pseudomonadati; Pseudomonadota; Gammaproteobacteria. The record is from RNAcentral.